RNAcentral lists this long non-coding RNA (490 nucleotides) under Homo sapiens (human). Its description in RNAcentral is "novel transcript". The record is from RNAcentral. Lineage: Eukaryota; Metazoa; Chordata; Mammalia; Primates; Hominidae.
GUGGUGGAGGCCGGCUCGGACAUGGUCUUCCGGUGGACCAUCAACGACAAGCAGUCCCUGACCUUCCAGAACGUGGUCUUCAAUGUCAUUUAUCAGAGCGCGGCGGUCUUCAAGCUCUCACUGACGGCCUCCAACCACGUGAGCAACGUCACCGUGAACUACAACAUCACCGUGGAGCGGAUGAACAGGAUGCAGGGCCUGCGGGUCUCCACAGUGCCGGCCGUGCUGUCCCCCAAUGCCACGCUGGCACUGACGGCGGGCGUGCUGGUGGACUCGGCUGUGGAGGUGGCCUUCCUGUGGACCUUUGGGGAUGGGGAGCAGGCCCUCCACCAGUUCCAGCCUCCGUACAACGAGUCCUUCCCAGUUCCAGACCCCUCGGUGGCCCAGGUGCUGGUGGAGCACAAUGUCACGCACACCUACGCUGCCCCAGCUUCCCCCGCAUCGGAGACCACGUGGUGAGCGUGCAGGGCAAAAACCACGUGAGCUGGGC